UAUUAUUUUAGAUGUAAAUUAUUUAAACUUGAGUAGUAGUAGAUAAGAUCUUGAAACUUAAAGAAUUUGGCGGUAUUUUAGUCUAUUUAGAGGAAUCUGUCCCAUAAUCGAUAAUCCGCGUUGGACCUUACUUAAUUUAAAAUAAUAUGUAUACCGCCGUUGUUGAAAAUCUUUUUAGGGUUUAGAAUUUUUCUAAUAUUUAUUAGAUAAAUUUUCAGGUCAAGGUGCAGUUUAUAAUUAAGUGGUGAUGGAUUACAAUAUUUAUAUUAUAUAUGAAUUAUUAUCUGUAAUUGGUAAUAUGAAGGUGGAUUUAAUAGUAAUAUUAUGAAGGUUGUUAAUAUGAUUUUAGCUCUAAAAUAUGCACACAUCGCCCGUCGCUCUCGUUAUGUUUAAGGUGAG
Molecule: ribosomal RNA, 399 nt
Filed under: Episymploce forficula
Lineage: Eukaryota; Metazoa; Arthropoda; Insecta; Blattodea; Blattellidae
Description: partial small subunit ribosomal RNA
Source: RNAcentral